Molecule: long non-coding RNA, 397 nt
Organism: Megalobrama amblycephala (Wuchang bream)
Lineage: Eukaryota; Metazoa; Chordata; Actinopteri; Cypriniformes; Xenocyprididae
Exons: 3
Source: RefSeq, a predicted model, not a curated record
CAGGCUAUGCUUGUGGGUCGUGAGAUUAACAGUAGUGUAAAGCAAUCGUAAAGAGCAGUCGUCGUGGGCAGGAGAAUUCAUUUGAACACAUCCGUCUGUCCAUUCUUCGGAACAGUGUGAGGAAAAACGAAAAACUAACACGUCCUUUCAGCGAGAAGACCACAGCGGACAUCAUACCAACCGAUCACUGGCUGAGGUCAUGUGGAAAGACUGGAGAUCUACAGCAGCAUUGCAGUCCAGCCAGAUGAUCAACCAGUAGCUGCUCGCAUCUCAGCCUGCUUGAUGGAAAUUUCCGACUUUCACCUGGAUGACCUUUACCUUCAACUUCACCUUGCCAAGACAGAAGUUCUUGUGGUUUCAGCCACCCAUCCUUUGUGUUAUAAUCAAUCAGUUAAAC